CGGACGGGUGAGUAACGCGUGGAGAACCUGCCGUAUACUGGGGGAGUAACACUUAGAAAUAGGUGCUAAUACCGCAUAAGCGCACAGCUUCGCAUGAAGCAGUGUGGAAAACUCCGGUGGUAUACGAUGGAUCCGCGUCUGAUUAGCUGGUUGGCGGGGUAAAGGCCCACCAAGGCGACGAUCAGUAGCCGGCCUGAGAGGGUGAACGGCCACAUUGGGACUGAGACACGGCCCAAACUCCUACGGAAGGCAGCAG
Molecule: ribosomal RNA, 256 nt
Filed under: uncultured bacterium
Lineage: Bacteria
Description: partial 16S ribosomal RNA
Rfam family: Bacterial small subunit ribosomal RNA
Source: RNAcentral